AGAAUGUAAGAAGUACAAUGACUGCUAACUUGUUAAGGCAUCUGCUAACAUGCAUCUCUACUUUUACAUAGGGGUCUGCUAAUGAGUAUCUCUACUGCCACAUGGAAUCCUCAGAUUUCACCAUUCUGAAAGAAUAGAAAAAGGAACAGCCUGCCAUUGAUCAUGACCUCUGCAUAGCUCUGUGUAAGUGGAGUACUGAACAUAUAUAAUCCAACUGCCAAUAAAUACUGCUAACCAAGAGAUGAAGAGAUACUUCAUUCGCAUAUAUGAGAAGCGAACCUGAAGAUAUAAAAGAAAAACAAAGAGAAAACUGCAACUUACAACAGAAGAAUUAUAUAGCAACACCGGAAUUAUCAAAUCCGAUCAGAAAAAUCGUCCA
This is a non-coding RNA of Caretta caretta (loggerhead turtle), 379 nucleotides long. The record is from RefSeq and is a predicted model, not a curated record. NCBI's taxonomy places the organism in Eukaryota, Metazoa, Chordata, Testudines, Cheloniidae.